UGGGGGAUAUUGCACAAUGGGCGCAAGCCUGAUGCAGCGACGCCGCGUGGGGGAUGAAGGCCUUCGGGUUGUAAACUUCUUUUGCUCUGAACAAGGCGCACUUUGGGGUGUGUUGAGUGUAGGGGUUGAUUAGCGCCGGCUAACUACGUGCCAGCAGCCGCGGUAAUACGUAGGGCGCGAGCGUUGUCCGGAAUUAUUGGGCGUAAAGGGCUUGUAGGUGGCUGGUUGCGUCUGUCGUGAAAGCUCAUGGCUUAACUGUGGGUUUGCGGUGGGUACGGGCUGGCUUGAGUGCAGUAGGGGAGGCUGGAAUCCCUGGUGUAGCGGUGGAAUGCGCAGAUAUCAGGAGGAAUACCGGUGGCGAAGGCGGGUCUCUGGGCUGUUACUGACACUGAGGAGCGAAAGCAUGGGGAGCGAACAGG
This 419-nucleotide ribosomal RNA is filed under the name bacterium. RNAcentral describes it as "partial 16S ribosomal RNA". It matches the Rfam family "Bacterial small subunit ribosomal RNA", at positions 355 to 776 of the family's 1533-position model. The record is from RNAcentral.